CAUAUUCAAUUGUCAAGACCAGAUUUAAAUUCAAUAAGUCGAGACCGGAUUUAAUUUGUGCGGCCCACUGCGUAUCGCGGCACUAGUGCCCAUUGCGAUUUUCCAUAAACGGAUUACUGGUUUGGGCAGCACAAGGCAGAACUUGGUAUAUUGAGGAGCUUUACAUUACUCAGGGCCGUUCACGUGGGUGAACGGAAAGGUGGGGCAGGACUGUCGGAAAUCCCUAUCCCUCCUCAGACUUAAUUAUUUCGGAACCUGUUUUAAAUCCGUAUCGUUUGCCAAAUAGUUCCAAGCACAAGGGAGCAGGCGAUUUGAGCAUCGUUCUUGAUGGUGAUGCUGUGCGAUGCCUUACCCGCUGGCCGUCCCGUAGCGCACGACUGUGGCACUGCGGAUGAUCAUUUUACCCAAAUAAAUAGUUAAAUGAGUGAACACCCGACCAUCUGGUGGAGUAGAGGUACGGUAGGUUUCCUUCUCUUCGCUGCCCUUUGUGACGUGUGUGUGUGCGGUUGCUACAUUGGGCUCCAGACUCACGGAGAGUAGAGCCAGCGGGCCGUGACGUGGAUAGUGGUGCUGAGUGUGAGCCGGAUAUGGGAUUGGAUGUGGGGUUGGGGCCAGCGGUGCUUUGAUUACCUGGUGUUUCUUCACCUCUUCAUCCGGCUUUUACAGUUUCAUUUCCCACGGGUGCGGCAGUGUCUGAGAAUGCUCUUUGUUCGAAACAAGAUGUCCCCGUAUGGCACAGCUGCUGCGCAGCAGCGUCCAGCAGCUCACUGCAACGCUUGGCCCUCAUCGCUCCCACCGAUAUGGCUUGGCAGCUGUAUGGCUGUAACGGACUGUAUCGUAGAGUUAUGCUUCGCCAAGUCAUAUGACGGCACGGACUUGUGAAACUAUG
Molecule: long non-coding RNA, 889 nt
Filed under: Volvox carteri
Lineage: Eukaryota; Viridiplantae; Chlorophyta; Chlorophyceae; Chlamydomonadales; Volvocaceae
Description: long non-coding RNA (VCAR_LNC000761)
Source: RNAcentral